RNAcentral lists this ribosomal RNA (472 nucleotides) under uncultured organism. RNAcentral describes it as "partial 16S ribosomal RNA". It matches the Rfam family "Bacterial small subunit ribosomal RNA", at positions 334 to 797 of the family's 1533-position model. The record is from RNAcentral.
CACUCCUACGGGAGGCAGCAGUGGGGAAUUUUGGACAAUGGGCGAAAGCCUGAUCCAGCCAUGCCGCGUGCAGGAUGAAGGCCUUCGGGUUGUAAACUGCUUUUGUACGGAACGAAACGGCCUUUUCUAAUAAAGAGGGCUAAUGACGGUACCGUAAGAAUAAGCACCGGCUAACUACGUGCCAGCAGCCGCGGUAAUACGUAGGGUGCAAGCGUUAAUCGGAAUUACUGGGCGUAAAGCGUGCGCAGGCGGUUAUGUAAGACAGUUGUGAAAUCCCCGGGCUCAACCUGGGAACUGCAUCUGUGACUGCAUAGCUAGAGUACGGUAGAGGGGGAUGGAAUUCCGCGUGUAGCAGUGAAAUGCGUAGAUAUGCGGAGGAACACCGAUGGCGAAGGCAAUCCCCUGGACCUGUACUGACGCUCAUGCACGAAAGCGUGGGGAGCAAACAGGAUUAGAUACCCCGGUAGUCCCA